RNAcentral lists this ribosomal RNA (450 nucleotides) under uncultured bacterium. Its description in RNAcentral is "partial 16S ribosomal RNA". It matches the Rfam family "Bacterial small subunit ribosomal RNA", at positions 354 to 796 of the family's 1533-position model. The record is from RNAcentral.
GUGGGGAAUUUUGGACAAUGGGCGAAAGCCUGAUCCAGCAAUGCCGCGUGUGUGAAGAAGGCCUUCGGGUUGUAAAGCUCUGUGGGGAGGGAAGAAAAAGCGGGAGAGUAACUGCUCUCGUGUUGACGGUACCUCCUUAGCAAGCACCGGCUAACUCUGUGCCAGCAGCCGCGGUAAUACAGAGGGUGCAAACGUUGCUCGGAAUUACUGGGCGUAAAGCGCGUGUAGGCUGACAUGCAAGUCGGGUGUGAAAUCCCAGGGCUCAACCUUGGAACUGCACUAGAAACUGCACGUCUUGAGUACUGGAGAGGGAAGCGGAAUUACGGGUGUAGAGGUGAAAUUCGUAGAUAUCCGGAGGAACACCAGUGGCGAAGGCGGCUUCCUGGACAGUAACUGACGCUGAGACGCGAAAGCGUGGGGAGCAAACAGGAUUAGAAACCCGGGUAGUCC